RNAcentral lists this ribosomal RNA (468 nucleotides) under uncultured bacterium. Its description in RNAcentral is "partial 16S ribosomal RNA". It matches the Rfam family "Bacterial small subunit ribosomal RNA", at positions 28 to 507 of the family's 1533-position model. The record is from RNAcentral.
GACGAACGCUGGCGGCGUGCUUAACACAUGCAAGUCGAACGGAAAGGCCCUGCUUUGCUGGGGUGCUCGAGUGGCGAACGGGUGAGUAACACGUGAGUAACCUGCCCUUGACUUUGGGAUAACUUCAUGAAACUGGGGCCAAUUCCGGAUAGGGUCUCCGGCUGCAUGGUGGGGGUUGUAAAGGUUCGGAGGUGGGGGAUGGACUGGCGGGUUAUCAUUUUGUUGUUGGGGUGGUGGCUGACCAAGGCGUUGACGGGUAGUCGGCCUGAGAGGGUGACCGGCACACUUGGGAGACACAUACGGCAGGCAGUCCUACGGGAGGCAGCGGUGGGGAAUCAACCCCGAUGGGCGGACGCCUGAUGAAGCAACGCCGCCUGCGGGUUGACGGCCUUCGUUGUGUAGAAAGAUCUCGACUGUGACGAAGCCUGAGUGACGGUACUGGGUAAAAAAGCACCGGCUAACUACGUG